Molecule: ribosomal RNA, 477 nt
Filed under: uncultured bacterium
Lineage: Bacteria
Description: partial 16S ribosomal RNA
Rfam family: Bacterial small subunit ribosomal RNA
Source: RNAcentral
AUGAACGCUGGCGGCGUGCUUAACCCAUGCAAGUCGAACGGGAAUUAUUUUAUUGAAACUUCGGUCGAUUUAAUUUAAUUCUAGUGGCGGACGGGUGAGUAACGCGUGGGUAACCUGCCUUAUACAGGGGGAUAACAGUCAGAAAUGGCUGCUAAUACCGCAUAAGCGCACAGAGCUGCAUGGCUCAGUGUGAAAAACUCCGGUGGUAUAAGAUGGACCCGCGUUGGAUUAGCUGGUUGGUGGGGUAACGGCCCACCAAGGCGACGAUCCAUAGCCGGCCUGAGAGGGUGAACGGCCACAUUGGGACUGAGACACGGCCCAGACUCCUACGGGAGGCAGCAGUGGGGAAUAUUGCACAAUGGGGGAAACCCUGAUGCAGCGACGCCGCGUGAAGGAAGAAGUAUCUCGGUAUGUAAACUUCUAUCAGCAGGGAAGAUAGUGACGGUACCUGACUAAGAAGCCCCGGCUAACUACGUG